AGAACGAACGCUGGCGGCAUGCCUAAUACAUGCAAGUCGAACGAACUCUUCGGAGUUAGUGGCGCACGGGUGCGUAACGCGUGGGAAUCUGCCCCUUGGUUCGGAAUAACAGUUGGAAACGACUGCUAAUACCGGAUGAUGACGAAAGUCCAAAGAUUUAUCGCCAAGGGAUGAGCCCGCGUAGGAUUAGCUAGUUGGUGAGGUAAGGCUCACCAAGGCAACGAUCCUUAGCUGGUCUGAGAGGAUGAUCAGCCACACUGGGACUGGAGACACGGCCCAGACCUCCGUACGGGAGGCAGCAGUAGGGAAUAGUUGGAACAAGUGGGACGAAAGCCUAGACUCCAGCAAUCGCCGCGUGAAGUGAGUGAAGGUCCGUUAGGGUUAGUAACGGUCUUACCUUUUACCCGGAGUA
Molecule: ribosomal RNA, 412 nt
Filed under: uncultured soil bacterium
Lineage: Bacteria
Description: bacterial SSU rRNA
Rfam family: Bacterial small subunit ribosomal RNA
Source: RNAcentral